RNAcentral lists this long non-coding RNA (310 nucleotides) under Aotus nancymaae (Ma's night monkey). RNAcentral describes it as "lncRNA (ENSANAG00000038571.1)". Lineage: Eukaryota; Metazoa; Chordata; Mammalia; Primates; Aotidae. The record is from RNAcentral.
UGUGGCAGAAGAUCCAACCCAAACUGAGUUAGCAAAACCAGUUUCCAACGAAUCUGCUCUGAAAAUUCCAAAGAAUCUACCUAUUGAAGACUCCAGAUGAGACUGGGCAGCCAUCUCCAGUAAGACCUGUGUGAUGAAGGUUGUGUCCUGAGCCUGCCGGUCAGGCUGAAAGAGUCAGCAACCAACAAAUGAAGAUCCAGGAGUCUACCUCUCUCGAACCUGUGUGGAUCUAAUCAAACCUCGUGGGAAAGGUUGGGAGAACACAUCUCCACUCAGCUAUAGGAAAGCCAGAGAGCAUUUGAGAAGAGGC